CAAAUAUUUCCAAAAGAAAACAACAUUUUAAAAAGUCCACAACAAACAAUAGCAAGCUGUAAAGAUCCACAAGCAUCUUCUCCUGUCCUGCAUGGUUGCUGAUGGACCACCUGAGGCUCAGCAGAGUGGAGAGUGAUGUCAUGGUUGACCUAGCACCGGUGUGCCCAUAAAUGUUACAAACUAAAGCUUUAAAGGAAGAAACAGUGAAGCCUAUCCCAUGAAAAUAGUUCAACUGCCAGACAAUGAAUGAUGCCAAGCCUCCUUUUGAGUCUUGAUGUACANGGAUGCUUCUGGAAGAAAACUGAGUAAGAAGGAAUUGAGAGGAGC
Molecule: long non-coding RNA, 327 nt
Filed under: Salvator merianae (Argentine black and white tegu)
Lineage: Eukaryota; Metazoa; Chordata; Lepidosauria; Squamata; Teiidae
Description: lncRNA (ENSSMRG00000018222.1)
Source: RNAcentral